CACACACACACACACACACACAUUCUAUUGGUAUUCUGUUGAGCUUAUACUCAAUGUAUUCAUACAAUUAAAGAGUGACUCAGUGCAUUCACACUUAUGGACUCUGAGGAGGGUUGAUGUAUGGAGCCUUACCUUUGUUUUGUUGAGAGGUUGUUUCAUUUGCUUGAAUCUGUGACCUCCAGGGCACAAGUGGAGUAUCUUUACUAUUACACUGACUCCACCCUCUAUAUUCAUACAAUUAUAAUGAAAUAAAUUAAAUAUACAAAUUGAGUAGCCUUUGAAAAGUCUCAAACAUUCUACCAUUCAACAUUAUCAAGCUAUUGCUAUUAUGUCUUAGGUUUUGAAUGGGUGAAUGACAAAAUAAGGGAAGGGAGAAUAGAAGUUUAAGAGUUGGACGUAGUUGUCUUUUAGGUAUUUUAUGAAGAAUUUUAUCUGAAUUUGAAAAGUUAGUUUCAAUUGUAUCCAUUGGUCAAUAUUGAAAUAAUUUAUUUUUACUAAAUAAAAUAAUUUUUUUAAAUAGUUCUCUCUUCCUCUCCCUUCCCCCUAUUCUCUCUUAUCACAUAGAAUCCUAAUUUAGAAGCAAAAACCUAAUCUCUCUCUCUCUCUCUCU
RNAcentral lists this unclassified non-coding RNA (610 nucleotides) under Hevea brasiliensis (rubber tree). The record is from RNAcentral. Lineage: Eukaryota; Viridiplantae; Streptophyta; Magnoliopsida; Malpighiales; Euphorbiaceae.